This 22-nucleotide microRNA is filed under the name Mopalia muscosa. RNAcentral's name for it is "Mom-Mir-9_3p (mature (co-guide))". Lineage: Eukaryota; Metazoa; Mollusca; Polyplacophora; Chitonida; Mopaliidae. The record is from RNAcentral.
UAAAGCUAGGUUACCAAAGGCA